AACAAUAAUGUAUGUUGAGCACAUUGUGAUGGUUCAUUAUCCCCACUGCACCCCCCCAAAUGUCUUUACUGCUUUAUUCAUGACAAACUAGGGUUUCCUUCUAUGGCAGCAGCAGCAAACAACAAAUAAGCAUGUUCCUUUCCUUCUACACAUAUAAUUAAGUGGCGAAGCUUGCCUUCGAAAUUUGGGUCGAUUUCAUGCUAAAGAUGUGUAUCGGAUACAGCCAGUCGCAAAACAUAUGCCUGUAACAAAACAGUAGCUAAAUUCAUAACGUAUAUAUAUAAUAAGAUUGCAAAGUAGCUAAAAGUUCAUCUCAAAACAGUCGCUAAAAGCUGGUUGCAAAACAGUCAUUAAAAUCCCACCAUUGCUAACGC
Long non-coding RNA from Helianthus annuus (common sunflower), 374 nucleotides. RefSeq lists it as uncharacterized. The transcript has 2 exons. The record is from RefSeq and is a predicted model, not a curated record. NCBI's taxonomy places the organism in Eukaryota, Viridiplantae, Streptophyta, Magnoliopsida, Asterales, Asteraceae.